UGGGGAAUAUUGGGCAAUGGGCGCAAGCCUGACCCAGCAACGCCGCGUGAAGGAAGAAGGCUUUCGGGUUGUAAACUUCUUUUAAGAGGGAAGAGCAGAAGACGGUACCUCUAGAAUAAGCCACGGCUAACUACGUGCCAGCAGCCGCGGUAAUACGUAGGUGGCAAGCGUUGUCCGGAUUUACUGGGUGUAAAGGGCGUGCAGCCGGGUCUGCAAGUCAGAUGUGAAAUCCAUGGGCUCAACCCAUGAACUGCAUUUGAAACUGUAGAUCUUGAGUGUCGGAGGGGCAAUCGGAAUUCCUAGUGUAGCGGUAGAAUGCGUAGAGAUUAGGAGGAACAUCAGAGGCGAAGGCGGCUUACUGGACCAUAACUGACGCUGAGGCUCGAAAGCGUGGGGAG
RNAcentral lists this ribosomal RNA (398 nucleotides) under uncultured Oscillibacter sp. RNAcentral describes it as "bacterial SSU rRNA". It matches the Rfam family "Bacterial small subunit ribosomal RNA", at positions 355 to 768 of the family's 1533-position model. The record is from RNAcentral. Lineage: Bacteria; Bacillati; Bacillota; Clostridia; Eubacteriales; Oscillospiraceae.